This 433-nucleotide ribosomal RNA is filed under the name uncultured bacterium. RNAcentral describes it as "bacterial SSU rRNA". It matches the Rfam family "Bacterial small subunit ribosomal RNA", at positions 11 to 431 of the family's 1533-position model. The record is from RNAcentral.
GUUUGAUCCUGGCUCAGAGCGAACGUUAGCGGCAGGCUUAACACAUGCAAGUCGAGCGAGAAAGGGGCUUCGGCUCCGAGUAAAGCGGCGGACGGGUGCGUAACACGUGGAUAAUCUGCCUCGUGGCGGGGGACAACAGUCCGAAAGGACUGCUAAUACCGCAUGUCAGGUCGGAAACUCCGGUUUCUGACGAAAAAGAGGGCGCCCGCAAGGGGCUCUCACCACGAGAUGAGUCCGCGUCCCAUCAGCUAGUUGGCGGUGUAAUAGACCACCAAGGCUUAGACGGGUAGCUGGUCUGAGAGGAUGACCAGCCACACUGGGACUGAGACACGGCCCAGACUCCUACGGGAGGCAGCAGUGGGGAAUAUUGGACAAUGGGCGAAAGCCUGAUCCAGCCAUGCCGCGUGAGUGAUGAAGGCCUCGGUCGUAAGAC